UGGUACUCAUGAAAAGAAUUUUAGUUCAACCUUAUAAGUUUUAUGACCUAUAAAAGUCAAAAUUAUCUUUUAAGAGCUAUUCAAUAGGGGAACAGCCCUAUUGAAAAAGGACACAACCUCUAUCACAGGGUAAUGAUGAUAUUAUUUAAGGGUAUUGGAGAAGUGGGCUUAAAAGCAGCCAUCUUAAAAGAGAGCGUUAUAGCUCAACCAAAACAACCCAACAAUUUCAAUACAACUUCAAAACCCGCCCAUGUACUGAGUUAUUCUAUAACAUUAUAGAAUUAAUUAUGUUAAAACUAGUAACACAGAAAUUAAAUUUCUCCUGUAUGUAAGUGUAAAUCAGAUUGAAUAAAUCACUGAUAAUUAACAGCCUUUAUGAAAUUAAUGUAGAAACUCAUCAAGAAAACCCUACUAUUAUUACUGUUAACCUAACACAAGAACAUAUCAAGAAAGAUUAAAAGACACAGAAGGAACUCGGCAAAUAUUUAAGCCCCGCCUGUGUAC
This 504-nucleotide ribosomal RNA is filed under the name Pelodytes caucasicus (Caucasus parsley frog). Its description in RNAcentral is "partial 16S ribosomal RNA". The record is from RNAcentral. Lineage: Eukaryota; Metazoa; Chordata; Amphibia; Anura; Pelodytidae.